Molecule: ribosomal RNA, 645 nt
Filed under: uncultured bacterium
Lineage: Bacteria
Description: bacterial SSU rRNA
Rfam family: Bacterial small subunit ribosomal RNA
Source: RNAcentral
GCGUCUGAUUAGCUUGUUGGCGGGGUAACGGCCCACCAAGGCUACGAUCAGUAGGGGUUCUGAGAGGAAGGUCCCCCACAUUGGAACUGAGACACGGUCCAAACUCCUACGGGAGGCAGCAGUGAGGAAUAUUGGUCAAUGGACGAGAGUCUGAACCAGCCAAGUAGCGUGCAGGAUGACGGCCCUAUGGGUUGUAAACUGCUUUUAUAAGGGAAUAAAGUGAGUCUCGUGAGACUUUUUGCAUGUACCUUAUGAAUAAGGACCGGCUAAUUCCGUGCCAGCAGCCGCGGUAAUACGGAAGGUCCGGGCGUUAUCCGGAUUUAUUGGGUUUAAAGGGAGCGUAGGCCGGAGAUUAAGCGUGUUGUGAAAUGUAGAUGCUCAACAUCUGCACUGCAGCGCGAACUGGUUUCCUUGAGUACGCACAAAGUGGGCGGAAUUCGUGGUGUAGCGGUGAAAUGCUUAGAUAUCACGAAGAACUCCGAUUGCGAAGGCAGCUCACUGGAGCGCAACUGACGCUGAAGCUCGAAAGUGCGGGUAUCGAACAGGAUUAGAUACCCUGGUAGUCCGCACGGUAAACGAUGGAUGCCCGCUGUUGGUCUGAAUAGGUCAGCGGCCAAGCGAAAGCAUUAAGCAUCCCACCUGGGG